Molecule: long non-coding RNA, 679 nt
Organism: Calypte anna (Anna's hummingbird)
Lineage: Eukaryota; Metazoa; Chordata; Aves; Apodiformes; Trochilidae
Exons: 5
Source: RefSeq, a predicted model, not a curated record
AGGAACCUCCGCUGUCUCCCCAUGGUGCUGAACGCCCGCCCCGCCGGAAGCCGUUGCUAGCCAGGUAAAGUCUGGACCUGUGUGCCUCCUUCAUCAGCAUCCCCCUUAGUGUCACCACUACUAAGGACAUGAGGAGGAUGAGAUGUCUGAUGUCUAACAGUGAAAGUGUGGUAGUUCAAGUCCAAAAGUGACCAGACUUCAGACAAAGAAUGUGUAGAGAAGCUGCUGAGGUCUCCACACAAGUGUCUGACACCAGUCCCACCAAGGGGGAUAUGAAAUUCUCACAACUCAGCCUAUUCUCCUCAGUCCCUGAGGAUGCAACUUCCACCCCAUCUUUGCCUCUCCAGAAUAUGGGCUUGCUUGCAUCUUUCUCUGAGGGAUCUAGUGCUGGCAUUUUUAGAUACUAGAAGACAUGCUUCAGUUUGGCUGGAAAAUACAAGCUUGAAGAAAGAACUUAAAAGUCUGUGGCAAACCUGAAAAUAAAGACACAAAUCUACAUCCAUGUUGGCAAGUGAUACGAAGUUUUCUCCUGGGGAAUAUCUAAUAUCUGCAAAGAAGCCCCACACCUAAGGGAAGGUUGAUCCGGGAUGAUGUCACCUAUGUGAAUCAUAAAGGAAUUUUCUCCUUCACUGCUCAGAUGAGGAUUUUUAAUGAUUGCCUCCCAUUUACUUCACAACAC